GAAGAACCUUUCGUACGUGAGC
RNAcentral lists this unclassified non-coding RNA (22 nucleotides) under Mus musculus (house mouse). RNAcentral describes it as "oocyte_clustered_small_RNA11407". The record is from RNAcentral. Lineage: Eukaryota; Metazoa; Chordata; Mammalia; Rodentia; Muridae.